AGUGAACGCUGGCGGUAGGCCUAACACAUGCAAGUCGAACGGCAGCACAGGAGAGCUUGCUCUCUGGGUGGCGAGUGGCGGACGGGUGAGGAGUACAUCGGAAUCUACUCUGUCGUGGGGGAUAAGGUAGGGAAACUUACGCUAAUACCGCAUACGACCUACGGGUGAAAGCAGGGGACCUUCGGGCCUUGCGCGAGUGAAGGAGCCGAUGUCGGAUUAGCUAGUUGGCGGGGUAAAGGCCCGCCAAGGCGACGAUCCGUAGCUGGUCUGAGAGGAUGAUCAGCCACACUGGAACUGAGACACGGUCCAGACUCCUACGGGAGGCAGCAGUGGGGAAUAUUGGACAAUGGGCGCAAGCCUGAUCCAGCCAUACCGCGUGGGUGAAGAAGGCCUUCGGGUUGUAAAGCCCUUUUGUUGGGAAAGAAAUCCAGCUGGCUAAUACCCGGUUGGGAUGACGGUACCCAAAGAAUAAGCACCGGCUAACUUCGUGCCAGCCGCCGCCGUAA
Molecule: ribosomal RNA, 506 nt
Filed under: uncultured bacterium
Lineage: Bacteria
Description: partial 16S ribosomal RNA
Rfam family: Bacterial small subunit ribosomal RNA
Source: RNAcentral